RNAcentral lists this ribosomal RNA (500 nucleotides) under uncultured bacterium. RNAcentral describes it as "partial 16S ribosomal RNA". It matches the Rfam family "Bacterial small subunit ribosomal RNA", at positions 28 to 507 of the family's 1533-position model. The record is from RNAcentral.
GACGAACGCUGGCGGCGUGCUUAACACAUGCAAGUCGAACGGGUCUGCCCUGUUUUUUGCGGGGUGGUUCGGUGGCGACCGGUGAAGUAACACGUGAGUAACCUGCCCCUCACUUCUGGAUAACCGCUUGAAGGGGUGGCUAAUACGGGUGUUUCUGCCUGUGCGGCAGGGUGUGGCUGGGAAAAAUUCACUUUUUGGUUUUUUUGGGGGGGGAUGGGCUCGCGGCCUAUCAGCUUGUUGGUGGGGUGAGGGCCUGCCAAGGCUUUGACGGGUAGCCGGCCUGAGAGGGUGGGCGGUCACACUGGGACUGAGAUACGGCCCAGACUCCUGCGGGAGGCAGCAGUGGGGGGUAUUGCACAAUGGGCGGAAGCCUGAUGCAGCGACGUCGCGUGAGGGAUGGAGGCCUUCGGGUUGUGAACCUCUUUCGCCGGUGAAGAAGGUCCUGCUCUUUGUGGUGGGGUUGACGGUAGCCGGGUUAUGAAGCGCCGGCUAACUACGUG